RNAcentral lists this ribosomal RNA (459 nucleotides) under uncultured bacterium. RNAcentral's name for it is "partial 16S ribosomal RNA". It matches the Rfam family "Bacterial small subunit ribosomal RNA", at positions 338 to 795 of the family's 1533-position model. The record is from RNAcentral.
CCUACGGGAGGCAGCAGUGAGGAAUAUUGGUCAAUGGCCGGAAGGCUGAACCAGCCAAGCCGCGUGAAGGACGAAGGUGCCAAGCAUUGUAAACUUCUUUUGUCAAGGGACAAAAUCAGGCGCGAGAGCCUGACCGAGGGUACUUGAAGAAAAAGCAUCGGCUAACUCCGUGCCAGCAGCCGCGGUAAUACGGAGGAUGCGAGCGUUAUCCGGAUUGAUUGGGUUUAAAGGGUGCGUAGGCGGACUGUUAAGUCAGCGGUAAAAGCCCGGGGCUCAACCCCGGCGAGCCGUUGAAACUGGCUGUCUUGAGAUGUCGAGAGGUAUGUGGCAUGCGCAGUGUAGCGGUGAAAUGCUUAGAUAUUGCGCAGAACUCCGAUUGCGAAGGCAGCAUACCGGCGCUCAACUGACGCUCAUGCACGAAAGUGUGGGUAUCGAACAGGAUUAGAUACCCGAGUAGUC